AUGAAAAACGCUUCCUACUCUAUCGUCUCCUGGAAUGUACGCGGAUUAGGUGAUAAUGACAAGUGUGCCAACGUGUUCUCUGAAAUCAAUCUCCUGCGCCCAUCUAUAGCCCUUCUUCAAGAAACCAAGUUACAAAAACCAGACACAUUCAAGCUUCGAUCGAUCUUUCCACGAUUCCUCGACUCUAAUAAUCACCCUGACGCAAUUGGAUCUGCGGGCGGCAUUCUUGCCACCAACUCUCGAUGCUUCUCGCUCAUCAACUGUCAACAUAACCGUUUCACAUCAACCUUAACUCUAUCUUGUCUUGCAUCGCCACACAACAUCUUCGUUACAAACGCGUACGCACCUUCGCAACGAGAUCUAAAGAUGGCAUUCCUAGACGAACUAAAACUAAUUGAACCACCACCACAAUCACCCUGGCUCCUAAUUGGAGACUUCAACAUCACCAGAUUCCCCUACAAACGCAACAACAACAACUUCCGACGAUCGGAGGCUGACGCUUUCAACGAUACAAUUGAUCAACUUGCUCUCUUAGAGCUACCACUCCUUGACAGAGAGUUCACCUGGUCAAAUAAAAGGCAGGCUCCCACUCUAAUCCGACUGGAUAGGGUUCUGAUCAACCUCGCUUGGGAUGCUAUCUUCCCAAACUCACAUCUAACCUCUCUCACUAGGUUUAUUUCUGAUCACGUACCACUACUAGUCACAGUAUCCAUGUCCAUCCCAUCUUCCCGCCUUUUUCGAUUUGAACGAUUCUGGACUUCAUUCCCAAAAUGUGCAGAUGUUGUACGUGAAUGUUGGUAG
Molecule: ribosomal RNA, 801 nt
Filed under: Triticum aestivum (bread wheat)
Lineage: Eukaryota; Viridiplantae; Streptophyta; Magnoliopsida; Poales; Poaceae
Description: partial small subunit ribosomal RNA
Source: RNAcentral